AGAAAAGUUGGUCGUGAGUGGAUUUCUAAUCUGUUUCAUAAGCAGUUCAAUUCUGUUUUUUUCUC
RNAcentral lists this transfer RNA (65 nucleotides) under Paphia euglypta. Its description in RNAcentral is "tRNA-Ser". The record is from RNAcentral. Lineage: Eukaryota; Metazoa; Mollusca; Bivalvia; Venerida; Veneridae.